Molecule: signal recognition particle RNA, 98 nt
Filed under: Planctomycetota bacterium
Lineage: Bacteria; Pseudomonadati; Planctomycetota
Description: Planctomycetes bacterium (bioreactor metagenome) signal recognition particle sRNA small type
Rfam family: Bacterial small signal recognition particle RNA
About the family: The signal recognition particle (SRP) is a universally conserved ribonucleoprotein involved in the co-translational targeting of proteins to membranes. Archaeal SRP consists of a 7S RNA and homologues of the eukaryotic SRP19 and SRP54 proteins.
Source: RNAcentral
GGUCCGGUCCCAGGCGAUGGGACAGGCGCGAAUCGGGUCAGGCCGGGAACGGAGCAGCCCUAAGGGCCCCGUUUCAUGUGCAAGGUGCCCGGACCCAA